UCAAACUCAAGGAAAUUCACUCACCUUUUCCCUUCAAAUUUUCGAGUAAUACAAGUGUGAAUCAAGAGGAUCAUUGCAAGUUUUUCUCUAACUUGGUAAGUUAUUGUCAAACAAAAGUAUCUUCUUUCACCUUAACAUGAAAAACUCCUUCUCACAUGGCUUUAUUCCAUGAUCACACCUUAGAAGCUUCAUAAACUCGAGAUCCACNUAAGGAGUCACCCUGGAAAGGAAUGAUUCGCUUUAGGAAAAGAGAAAACUAAACCCACGAUACAUUGGGCUGUUCGAGAUUUUUGCUCAGAUUGGUCCAAAGACUUAUAGGCUGCAGCUGCCUGUAGAGCUCAGCAAUGUACACCAUGUGUUCAGCGUAUCGAAUCUGAAAAAGUGCCUAUCAGGCAAAACCUUUAUCAUUCCUUUAAAAGAGAUCGAAGUAAACAAGAAUCUCCUGUUCGUCGAAGAACCAGUUGAGAUAAAGGAUAGGGAAGUAAAGUAUACGAAGCAAAGCCGCAUUCCAAUUGUGAGGGUCCGAUGGAACGCUAAGCGUGGACCGGAAUUCACAUGGGAAUGCAAAGACCAGAUGAAACGGAAGUACCCUCACCUAUUCUCUCAUUCAUGAACCUAUCUCUCAAAAGAAUUUCGAGACGAAAUUCCCUCUAACGGGGGGAUGAUGUCACAACUAGCAUUUUGCUAGGAAAUUCUACUCUUAUGCAAUCAUUCACCUAGUGUAAUAACUUGUACUCUAAGUGAAUACUCUACUUCAUACUCAUUCAAAUACAUCUCAUAUGUUCAACUAAGGGUUGGAAACCCUAGAAAUUCAUGUUCAAAUUCGUUAUGGACUAUGAAUUCUUUAUUGGACCUUAUUGGGCCGAUAAUUCCUCCCUUUGAUCUACAUUGGGCCGUGAACACACUUAAGGGCCCAAUGGGCCGAAAUUUUUUUUUGGGCUUCAUAACUUCGAACCAAGUCAAGAAAGGAGUCCAAAACCAUUCUAUCAUUUUGUCAAGCCCAUUCUCGGCCCAACUUAUAUAAAAAAAAUGAAUAAAUCUAACUAAUUCAUACAAAGACACCUCAUUAUGGACUAUAGGAUUUCUAGGCACAUUACCCACCAUGUAAUAAUAAAUCCCAUGCUUCCAUGCCACCAUACUUCAACAUAAUCUCCUUCUUUCCCUAUUCUUCAUACUCUCGGCCACCACCACCAUCAUUUAACUUUCAAAGAUCUCUUCCAUUUUACUCUCAAACUCAAGGAAAUUUACUCACUUUUUCCCUUCAAAUUUUCGAGUAAUACAAGUGUGAAUCAAGAGGAUCAUUGCAAGUAUUUCUCUAACUUGGUAAGUUAUUGUCAAACAAAAGUAUCUUCAUUCAUCUUAACAUGAAAAACUCCUUCUCACAUGGUUUUAUUCCAUGAUCACACCUUAGAAGCUUCAUAAACUCGAGAUCCACAACAAAGGUGUGCUAAGACCCAAAAAUCUCUUCAUUUAGUCAUCAAAAUCCGAAAUCUUC
Molecule: long non-coding RNA, 1495 nt
Filed under: Lactuca sativa (garden lettuce)
Lineage: Eukaryota; Viridiplantae; Streptophyta; Magnoliopsida; Asterales; Asteraceae
Description: long non-coding RNA (LSAT_LNC010258)
Source: RNAcentral